GACGAACGCUGGCGGCGUGCUUAACACAUGCAAGUCGAGCGGAAAGGCCCUUCGGGGUACUCGAGCGGCGAACGGGUGAGUAACACGUGGGUAACCUGCCCUUUGCUCUGGGAUAAGCCUGGGAAACUGGGUCUAAUACUGGAUAUGACAUUUACAGGCAUCUGUGGGUGUGGAAAGUUUUUCGGCAGAGGAUGGACCCGCGGCCUAUCAGCUUGUUGGUGGGGUAGUGGCCUACCAAGGCGUUGACGGGUAGCCGGCCUGAGAGGGCGACCGGCCA
Molecule: ribosomal RNA, 277 nt
Filed under: uncultured bacterium
Lineage: Bacteria
Description: partial 16S ribosomal RNA
Rfam family: Bacterial small subunit ribosomal RNA
Source: RNAcentral